GGAUGAACGCUGGCGGCGUGCUUAACACAUGCAAGUCGAACGGGAAAUAUUUCAUUGAGACUUCGGUGGAUUUGAUUUAUUUCUAGUGGCGGACGGGUGAGUAACGCGUGGGUAACCUGCCUUAUACAGGGGGAUAACAGUCAGAAAUGGCUGCUAAUACCGCAUAAGCGCACAGAGCUGCAUGGCUCAGUGUGAAAAACUCCGGUGGUAUAAGAUGGACCCGCGUUGGAUUAGCUAGUUGGUGGGGUAACGGCCCACCAAGGCGACGAUCCAUAGCCGGCCUGAGAGGGUGAACGGCCACAUUGGGACUGAGACACGGCCCAGACUCCUACGGGAGGCAGCAGUGGGGAAUAUUGCACAAUGGGGGAAACCCUGAUGCAGCGACGCCGCGUGAAGGAAGAAGUAUCUCGGUAUGUAAACUUCUAUCAGCAGGGAAGAUAGUGACGGUACCUGACUAAGAAGCCCCGGCUAACUACGUGCCAGCAGCCGCGGUAAUACGUAGGGGGCAAGCGUUAUCCGGAUUUACUGGGUGUAAAGGGAGCGUAGACGGACGGGCAAGUCUGAUGUGGAAGCCCGGGGCU
Molecule: ribosomal RNA, 581 nt
Filed under: uncultured bacterium
Lineage: Bacteria
Description: bacterial SSU rRNA
Rfam family: Bacterial small subunit ribosomal RNA
Source: RNAcentral